AACGAACGCUGGUGGCGUGCUUAACACAUGCAAGUCGAACGAGAAAGUUUCCUUCGGGAAAUUAGUAAAGUGGCGCAAGGGUGAGUAUCACGUGAAUAAUCUGCCCUCGAGAUCGGGAUAACAUGGUGAAAACUAUGCUAAUACCGGAUAAGACCACAUUUCAUAAGAAAUGCGGUAAAAGGAGUCUCAAUCUUCACUCGAGGAUGAGUUCGCGCAACAUUAGCUUGUUGGUGAGAUAAAAGCUCACCAAGGCUACGAUGUUUAGCCGGCCUGAGAGGGUGAACGGCCACACUGGAACUGAGACACGGUCCAGACUCCUACGGGAGGCAGCAGUGGGGAAUAUUGGACAAUGGGCGAAAGCCUGAUCCAGCAAUGUUACGUGGGUGAUU
RNAcentral lists this ribosomal RNA (389 nucleotides) under uncultured Nitrospina sp. RNAcentral's name for it is "bacterial SSU rRNA". It matches the Rfam family "Bacterial small subunit ribosomal RNA", at positions 29 to 410 of the family's 1533-position model. Lineage: Bacteria; Pseudomonadati; Nitrospinota; Nitrospinia; Nitrospinales; Nitrospinaceae. The record is from RNAcentral.